This 449-nucleotide ribosomal RNA is filed under the name uncultured bacterium. RNAcentral describes it as "partial 16S ribosomal RNA". It matches the Rfam family "Bacterial small subunit ribosomal RNA", at positions 338 to 795 of the family's 1533-position model. The record is from RNAcentral.
CCUACGGGUGGCAGCAGUGGGGACUUUUGGACCAUGGGGGCAACCCUGAUCCAGCCAUGCCGCGUGAGUGAAGAAGGCCUUCGGGUUGUAAAGCUCUUUCGGCCGGGAAGAAAUCGCUCAAGCUAAUACCGUGGGUGGAUGACGGUACAGGAAGAAGAAGCACCGGCUAACUACGUGCCAGCAGCCGCGGUAAUACGUAGGGAGCGAGCGUUCGUCGGGAUUACGCGGGGUAAAGCGUAAGACAGAUGCGAAAUCCCCGGGCUUAACCUGGGAACUGCGUUUGUGACUGUGGUGCUCGAGUGCGGCAGAGGGGGGUGGAAUUCCACGUGUAGCAGUGAAAUGCGUAGAGAUGUGGAGGAACACCGAUGGCGAAGGCAGCCCCCUGGGUCGACACUGACGCUCAUGCACGAAAGCGUGGGGAGCAAACAGGAUUAGAUACCCUGGUAGUC